Molecule: microRNA precursor, 62 nt
Filed under: Caenorhabditis brenneri
Lineage: Eukaryota; Metazoa; Nematoda; Chromadorea; Rhabditida; Rhabditidae
Description: microRNA cbn-mir-74b precursor
Gene: cbn-mir-74b
Rfam family: mir-74 microRNA precursor family
Source: miRBase by way of RNAcentral
UGGGCUUCCUUUUCGUUCCCAGCUGAAUUUCUAAUCAUGCUGGCAAGACAAGGCAGUCUACU